This 386-nucleotide ribosomal RNA is filed under the name uncultured bacterium. Its description in RNAcentral is "bacterial SSU rRNA". It matches the Rfam family "Bacterial small subunit ribosomal RNA", at positions 29 to 416 of the family's 1533-position model. The record is from RNAcentral.
AUUGAACGCAGGCGGAAUGCUUUACACAUGCAAGUCGAACGGCAGCACGGGGGCAACCCUGGUGGCGAGUGGCGAACGGGUGAGUAAUACAUCGGAACGUGCCCAAUCGUGGGGGAUAACGUAGCGAAAGCUACGCUAAUACCGCAUACGAUCUACGGAUGAAAGCGGGGGAUCGCAAGACCUCGCGCGAAUGGAGCGGCCGAUGGCAGAUUAGGUAGUUGGUGGGGUAAAGGCUCACCAAGCCGACGAUCUGUAGCUGGUCUGAGAGGAUGAUCCGCCACACUGGGACUGAGACACGGCCCAGACUCCUACGGGAGGCAGCAGUGGGGAAUUUUGGACAAUGGGCGGAAGCCUGAUCCAGCCAUGCCGCGUGAGUGAAGAAGGCC